Molecule: ribosomal RNA, 428 nt
Filed under: Leptoglossus occidentalis
Lineage: Eukaryota; Metazoa; Arthropoda; Insecta; Hemiptera; Coreidae
Description: SSU rRNA
Rfam family: Eukaryotic small subunit ribosomal RNA
Source: RNAcentral
GGUUAAAAAGCUCGUAGUUGGUUCUGCGUGCCACGCUGUCGGUUCACCGCCUGCCGGUGCAACUGGCAUGCCGUGGCAUGUCCUGUCGGUGGCGGAUAGGCUUCGCGGCGUGCCCUAUGCGGUAUACCAGCGUGUAGGUUGCUGCGCCGCGUUGUCCUUGUACGCCGGCUCAAUCCUACCGCGGUGCUCUUUACCGAGUGUCGAGGUAGGCCGACACUGUUUACUUUGAACAAAUUAGAGUGCUUAAAGCAGGCUCUUAAAUCAGCCUGAAUAGUGGUGCAUGGAAUAAUGGAAAAGGACCUUGGUUCUAUUUUGGUUGGUUCCGGAAUCCAAGGUAAUGAUCAAUAAGGACAGGCGGGGGCAUUCGAAUUGCAACGUUAGAGGGGAAUUCUUGGAUCGUCCAAGACGCCUAAAGGAAAGAUUUGCCA